UGACGGAUGACGACGUGGUCGCUGCAGUGCCAGCGCAAGCUGAUCACUGCAGAGGAAAGUCCGAACACCGCAGGGUAGGAUGCCUGGUAACGCCAGGGCCCGUAAGGGACGGAAAGUGCAACAGAAAACAUACCGCCGAUUCUCUGCGUUUCUCAAUGCAGGGAAGGUAAGGGUGAAAAGGUGCGGUAAGAGCGCACCAGCGUUGCGGUAACGCAACGGCUUGGCAAACCCCAUCCGGUGCAAGGCCAAAUAGGACCGGAGUCGCCGGGAGAUAUUACCUCAGUCGCCCGGUGAGGAUGGUGACCCGCUAUCUGAGAAGCUCGGUCCGGAGCUCUCCUCUGGUCGGGUAGGCCGCUUGAGUGGGGGCGUGAGCCUCCACCUAGAUGAAUGACCACACGUUCUCGCAGAGGCGUCAAAGCCAAGCGAGAACGACAGAAUUCGGCUUAUCGUCGCCGUCAAGCU
This 462-nucleotide RNase P RNA is filed under the name bacterium. RNAcentral describes it as "RNase P RNA component class A". It matches the Rfam family "Bacterial RNase P class A". Rfam says of the family: Ribonuclease P (RNase P) is a ubiquitous endoribonuclease, found in archaea, bacteria and eukarya as well as chloroplasts and mitochondria. Its best characterised activity is the generation of mature 5'-ends of tRNAs by cleaving the 5'-leader elements of precursor-tRNAs. Cellular RNase Ps are ribonucleoproteins. The record is from RNAcentral.